RNAcentral lists this unclassified non-coding RNA (597 nucleotides) under Hevea brasiliensis (rubber tree). The record is from RNAcentral. Lineage: Eukaryota; Viridiplantae; Streptophyta; Magnoliopsida; Malpighiales; Euphorbiaceae.
UUAUUAAAGGCGCACCUUAGGCUCAAGGCUCGCAAGGCUCCAACCCUAAGGCCUCUAUAGGAGAAAGUUAGGUGAUCUUUUAACAGGCGCUCGCCUUAUGCACCUAGGCAUGCGCCUUGUUCUAGGCUCAAGGCUCUAAAAAGAGUCACCUUAUUUAUUUCCAUCUCUAACACCAUUAGACUUGGAAUUUGUUGAUCUACUUGAAUUUGGUGUUGAAGCAUCAACAAGUUGUCAAAAUUAGGGUUCUCAAUGAUAAAGAGACACCAAAAUCUUACCAAAUCCCCCAUAACCAAGAUUGCACAUUGUCCGCAUUUAUAUUUUCAACAUUUGUGCUCCUUUUAUCCCCCACCUCAUGCCUUGUUUUCAAUCUUCUCUCAUUAUCUCUCUCUCAUGUUGAUUGCUUGUUGGACUCUAUCAGUUUCUGAUUUAUCUAAAAUUGUCAUCUUUUGUUUUAAAAACCACCUAAAAAUGCCGCGUGGGUCCUUUAUUUCAUGAUCAUUUUGAGAGUGCUACCCACCACCACCCCCAACCCCAACUCCUCACCCCCCAACAACCCAAACACCUCCCACACCCAAAAAGACACUAACAUGCUAUUUA